Long non-coding RNA from Scatophagus argus, 769 nucleotides. RefSeq lists it as uncharacterized. The transcript is spliced from 4 exons. The record is from RefSeq and is a predicted model, not a curated record. Lineage: Eukaryota; Metazoa; Chordata; Actinopteri; Scatophagidae.
ACUGUGGAUAUGCUGUGUGAUGGCUCCUUUCUCAGCUUGCUUUUGUGCUUUAUCACUUGAAAACACUUUUGAACAAUACUCUAUAUUAGGUCAGUACUGUUGUUCUGAGAUAGCUUAGUGGAGGGUAGAUGUUUGUGUUGCACACUGGCCAGAUAUAGCAGCUCUGUUUGUUAACUGUUGGCCAUAUUAGGAGUAGGCCUCAAACACACACUCCAAGCCUGAAGCUUCAAGAGUUUCAUGUCUUCUGGACCACCCAGACUCAGUCAAGUCAAGUUUCACCGAGGAGCAGAACGCCACCGCUUCACUUCGACAAGCUAAGAGGUGGAGUUGAAUUCCUUUGAGGCGAUCACGGAGGGGAAUUCAGGAAAGGAAAGGAACAAAGAUGUAAUCCCUGAAACACGCGAGUGCUUGACAUAAACAAACACGCUGGGAGGAUUUCAAAGGGACUGCUGCUUGCUGGGAAUCCUCUCAUGUGCCGAUGAGAGAUAAGGCAGCAAAAUGCAAUGCAGAGAGCUCUCAUACUACACCCAUAUCGAUGCCAGGCCAGGAAUGCAACCAUGUAACGGGGGAAUUUCCCCACACUUUACUGACAAGAUGCAUGGUGAUCGGCCGUGAGGGAGAUGACUGCAGCUCGGUGAAGUUCUGGUCCCUGGUGUUGUUUUGGAGUUGUCUGAAAGGCAAAGUCCACAGUAUUUAUACAGUGCAGCAUGCAGGCAAGUGAUGAGUGAGUCAGUGAAGCUGUUGGACAGUUCAUGGAAGGAAAACUUUG